Non-coding RNA from Nycticebus coucang (slow loris), 842 nucleotides. The record is from the annotation of a RefSeq genome assembly. NCBI's taxonomy places the organism in Eukaryota, Metazoa, Chordata, Mammalia, Primates, Lorisidae.
CCUAGGACAGGUUGUCUCCACCAUGGCCUGGGCUCUAAUCCUCUUCACUCUGUUUGCUCAUUACACAGGGUCUUGGACCCACGUUGUGUUCACUCAGCCUCAGUCUGUGUCAGGGUCUCCAGGGCAGAAGUUCACCAUCUCCUGCACCCGCAGCAGCGGCAACAUUGGGGACAAUUAUGUGAACUGGUACCAGCAGCUCCUGGGCGGUGCCCUCACCACUGUGAUCUAUAGAGAUAACCAAAGACCCUCUGGGGUUCCAGCUCGGUUCUCAGGCUCCAUCCACAGCUCCUCCAACUCUGCCUCCCUGACCAUCUCUGAUCUGCAGACUGAGGACGAGGCCAACUAUUACUGUCUGUCUAGUUAUGAUAACUGUUAUCACACAGUGCUCUAGACUCAUGAGGAAGUGAGACAAAAACUCCCCAGAGCUGCCACACCCUGGGUCUGCCCUCAGCCUGUACCCACCACGAUGUGCUGCACUUCCGUGUCUCCUGCUUUAAGGAUAGAGCUGCGAUUUUCUGCUCAAGCGUCCUUCCCAUCCCCCCAACACAAAUUUCCAUGUCUUGAGAAAUUAUCUUCUAAUUUCUUUGAUAUCAUUUCAUGGAAGGGAUGUGGUUUAAAAUAGGGUUUUUGAGCCUUGGCACUGUUACCAGUGUGGACUGUGUUAUUCCUUGUGGUUAGGGCUAUUUUGUGCAUUCUGAGAUGUUGAGAAGCAUCCUGGUCCUCACGUAUCAGAUGUCAGUAGCAACCUAAUGCCCAAGUAGUGACAAACAAACAAACAAACAAAAUCUCCAUUUGUUUUUAAGCAUUCAAUGGGCAUAAUGUUUUUCAUGUUUGAGAGCUAA